RNAcentral lists this ribosomal RNA (1019 nucleotides) under Chlamydia psittaci. RNAcentral's name for it is "bacterial LSU rRNA". It matches the Rfam family "Bacterial large subunit ribosomal RNA", at positions 1 to 1006 of the family's 2925-position model. Lineage: Bacteria; Pseudomonadati; Chlamydiota; Chlamydiia; Chlamydiales; Chlamydiaceae. The record is from RNAcentral.
UACAGACCAAGUUAUUAAGAGCUAUUGGUGGAUGCCUUGGCAUUGACAGGCGAUGAAGGAUGCGUUUACCUGCAGUAAUCUUCGGCGAGCUGGUAUAAAGCUAUGACCCGGAGGUCUCCGAAUGGGGCAACCCGAUAGAUUAAUCAUCUAUCAUUAUACGCUGAAUACAUAGGCGUAUAAGGCGACACCUGCUGAACUGAAACAUCUUAGUAAGCAGAGGAAAAUAAAUCAAAGAGAUUCCCUGAGUAGCGGCGAGCGAAAGGGGAGAAGACCAAACCACAUUUUUAAUGUGGGGUUGUAGGGUCGAUAACAUGGGAUCUUAAGUUUUAGUCGAAUACUUCUGGAAAGUAGAACGAUACAGGGUGAUAGUCCCGUAGACGAAAAAACAAGAGACUCUAUUCGAUACCUGAGUAGGGCUAGACACGUGAAACCUAGUCUGAAUCUGGGGAGACCACUCUCCAAGUCUAAAUACUAGUCAAUGACCUAUAGUGAACCAGUACUGUGAAGGAAAGGUGAAAAGAACCCUUGUUAAGGGAGUGAAAUAGAACCUGAAACCAGUAGCUUAUAAGCGGUCGAAGACCUAUAACUUCUUCGGAAGUCAUGGUUGACGGCGUGCCUUUUGCAUGAUGAGCCAGGGAGUUAAGUUAAACGGCGAGGUUAAGGGAUCUACAUUCCGGAGCCGAAGCGAAAGCGAGUUUUAAAAGAGCGUUUAGUCGUUUGAUUUAGACACGAAACCAAGUGAGCUAUUUAUGACCAGGUUGAAGCAUGGGUAAGACCUUGUGGAGGACCGAACCAGUACAUGUUGAAAAAUGUUUGGAUGAGUUGUGAAUAGGGGUGAAAGGCCAAUCAAACUUGGAGAUAUCUUGUUCUCUCCGAAAUAACUUUAGGGUUAGCCUCGGAUAUUAAGCUUUUGGGGGUAGAGCACUGAAUUCUAGCGGGGGCCUACCGGCUUACCAACGGAAAUCAAACUCCGAAUACCAAAAGUGAGUCCGGGAGAUAUACAGCGGGGGCUAACUCGU